This 233-nucleotide ribosomal RNA is filed under the name uncultured bacterium. RNAcentral's name for it is "partial 16S ribosomal RNA". It matches the Rfam family "Bacterial small subunit ribosomal RNA", at positions 15 to 240 of the family's 1533-position model. The record is from RNAcentral.
GAUCCUGGCUCAGGACGAACGCUGGCGGCGUGCCUAAUACAUGCAAGUAGAACGCUGAAGGAGGAGCUUGCUUCUCUGGAUGAGUUGCGAACGGGUGAGUAACGCGUAGGUAACCUGCCUGGUAGCGGGGGAUAACUAUUGGAAACGAUAGCUAAUACCGCAUAAUAGCAGUUGUUGCAUGACAACUGUUUGAAAGGUGCAAUUGCACCACUACCAGAUGGACCUGCGUUGUA